ACAGCAGUCGCCGCGGUAAUACAGAGGGUGCGAGCGUUAAUCGGAUUUACUGGGCGUAAAGCGUGCGUAGGCGGCUUUUUAAGUCGGAUGUGAAAUCCCUGAGCUUAACUUAGGAAUUGCAUUCGAUACUGGGAAGCUAGAGUAUGGGAGAGGAUGGUAGAAUUCCAGGUGUAGCGGUGAAAUGCGUAGAGAUCUGGAGGAAUACCGAUGGCGAAGGCAGCCAUCUGGCCUAAUACUGACGCUGAGGUACGAAAGCAUGGGGAGCAAACAGGAUUAGAGACCCGUGUAGUCCCUGUCUCUUAUAA
Molecule: ribosomal RNA, 305 nt
Filed under: uncultured bacterium
Lineage: Bacteria
Description: partial 16S ribosomal RNA
Rfam family: Bacterial small subunit ribosomal RNA
Source: RNAcentral